GAUUCCGGAGAGGGAGCCUGAGAAACGGCUACCACAUCCAAGGAAGGCAGCAGGCGCGCAAAUUACCCAAUCCCGACACGGGGAGGUAGUGACAAUAAAUAACAAUAUAGGGCUCUUUCGGGUCUUAUAAUUGGAAUGAGUACAAUUUAAAUCCCUUAACGAGGAACAAUUGGAGGGCAAGUCUGGUGCCAGCAGCCGCGGUAAUUCCAGCUCCAAUAGCGUAUAUUAAAGUUGUUGCAGUUAAAAAGCUCGUAGUUGAACCUUGGGGUCAGUAGAUUGGUCGUGCCACUGGUAUGUACUGGUCUUACUGGCUCCUCCUUCCUGAUGAACCGUAAUGCCAUUAAAUUGGUGUUGCCGGGAGACUGGACUGUUACUUUGAAAAAAUUAGAGUGUUUAAAGCAGGCUACCGCUUGAAUACAUUAGCAUGGAAUAAUGAAAUAGGACGUUCGAUCUUAUUUUGUUGGUUUUUAGGAUUGACGUAAUGAUUAAUAGGGAUAGUUGGGGGCAUUAGUAUUCAAUUGUCAGAGGUGAAAUUCUUGGAUUUAU
This 546-nucleotide ribosomal RNA is filed under the name Glomus sp. RNAcentral's name for it is "SSU rRNA". It matches the Rfam family "Eukaryotic small subunit ribosomal RNA", at positions 379 to 929 of the family's 1831-position model. The record is from RNAcentral. Lineage: Eukaryota; Fungi; Glomeromycota; Glomeromycetes; Glomerales; Glomeraceae.